This 417-nucleotide RNase P RNA is filed under the name Actinomycetes bacterium. Its description in RNAcentral is "Actinobacteria bacterium RNase P RNA component class A". It matches the Rfam family "Bacterial RNase P class A". From Rfam's summary of the family: Ribonuclease P (RNase P) is a ubiquitous endoribonuclease, found in archaea, bacteria and eukarya as well as chloroplasts and mitochondria. Lineage: Bacteria; Bacillati; Actinomycetota; Actinomycetes. The record is from RNAcentral.
CGAGCCGACCGGACGGUCGCUGCGGCGCUCCCUCGUGAGGGCCGCAGAGGAAAGUCCGGACUCCACAGGGCAAGGUGGUGGGUAACGCCCACCCGGGGUGACCCGCGGGACAGUGCCACAGAGAACAGACCGCCGGCCGGCCAGGUCUUCGACCCGGGCGGCAGGCAAGGGUGAAACGGUGGUGUAAGAGACCACCAGCGCGACGGGUGACCGGCGCGGCUUGGUAAACCCCACCCGGAGCAAGGUCGAGAGGGUGACGAGCCUUCGAGCGAGGCACCUGCGCGGACGUUCGAGGGCUGCCCGCCCGAGUCCGCGGGUAGACCGCACCAGGCCACCGGCAACGGUGGUCGCAGAUGGAUGACCGUCGCUCGCCGCUCGCGGUGGGCACAGGAUCCGGCUUACAGGUCGACUCGUCCG